RNAcentral lists this transfer RNA (70 nucleotides) under Zonosaurus maximus. RNAcentral describes it as "tRNA-Ile". It matches the Rfam family "tRNA". Rfam says of the family: Transfer RNA (tRNA) molecules are approximately 80 nucleotides in length. Their secondary structure includes four short double-helical elements and three loops (D, anti-codon, and T loops). Further hydrogen bonds mediate the characteristic L-shaped molecular structure. tRNAs have two regions of fundamental functional importance: the anti-codon, which is responsible for specific mRNA codon recognition, and the 3' end, to which the tRNAs corresponding amino acid is attached (by aminoacyl-tRNA synthetases). tRNAs cope with the degeneracy of the genetic code in two manners: having more than one tRNA (with a specific anti-codon) for a particular amino acid; and 'wobble' base-pairing, i.e. permitting non-standard base-pairing at the 3rd anti-codon position. The record is from RNAcentral. Lineage: Eukaryota; Metazoa; Chordata; Lepidosauria; Squamata; Gerrhosauridae.
GGAAGUGUGCCUGAAUUAAAGGACUACUUUGAUAGAGUAGAAUACAGGAGUUCAAACCUCCUCACCUCCU